RNAcentral lists this ribosomal RNA (465 nucleotides) under Vreelandella stevensii. Its description in RNAcentral is "partial 16S ribosomal RNA". It matches the Rfam family "Bacterial small subunit ribosomal RNA", at positions 338 to 795 of the family's 1533-position model. The record is from RNAcentral. Lineage: Bacteria; Pseudomonadati; Pseudomonadota; Gammaproteobacteria; Oceanospirillales; Halomonadaceae.
CCUACGGGUGGCAGCAGUGGGGAAUAUUGGACAAUGGGCGAAAGCCUGAUCCAGCCAUGCCGCGUGUGUGAAGAAGGCCUUCGGGUUGUAAAGCACUUUCAGUGGGGAAGAAAGCCUUGGGGCUAAUACCCUCGAGGAAGGACAUCACCCACAGAAGAAGCACCGGCUAACUCCGUGCCAGCAGCCGCGGUAAUACGGAGGGGUGCGAGCGUUAAUCGGAAUUACUGGGCGUAAAGCGCGCGUAGGCGGUCUGAUAAGCCGGUUGUGAAAGCCCCGGGCUCAACCUGGGAACGGCAUCCGGAACUGUCAGGCUAGAGUGCAGGAGAGGAAGGUAGAAUUCCCGGUGUAGCGGUGAAAUGCGUAGAGAUCGGGAGGAAUACCAGUGGCGAAGGCGGCCUUCUGGACUGACACUGACGCUGAGGUGCGAAAGCGUGGGUAGCAAACAGGAUUAGAUACCCGUGAGUC